UUUAAUAUGGCAGAUCAGUGCAAUGAAUUUAAGCUUCAUAAAGAAAAAAAAUUUUUUUUUUAUUAAAA
Molecule: transfer RNA, 68 nt
Filed under: Trichosia lengersdorfi
Lineage: Eukaryota; Metazoa; Arthropoda; Insecta; Diptera; Sciaridae
Description: tRNA-Leu
Source: RNAcentral